RNAcentral lists this ribosomal RNA (331 nucleotides) under uncultured bacterium. RNAcentral describes it as "bacterial SSU rRNA". It matches the Rfam family "Bacterial small subunit ribosomal RNA", at positions 568 to 898 of the family's 1533-position model. The record is from RNAcentral.
CGCGUAGGUGGUAGUGUAAGUCUGGGGUGGAAUCCCAGGGCUUAACCCUGGAACUGCCUUGGAAACUGUAUUACUUGAGUCAGUGAGGGGAGGGUAGAAUUCCUGGUGUAGCGGUGAAAUGCGUAGAUAUCAGGAGGAAGGCCUGUGGCGAAGGCGGCCCUCUGGCGCUGGACUGACACUGAGGCGCGAAAGCGUGGGGAGCAAACAGGAUUAGAUACCCUGGUAGUCCACGCCCUAAACGGUGGACACUAGGUGUAGGGCUCGUAAGGGUUCUGUGCCGAAGGGAAACCAUUAAGUGCCCCCGCCUGGGGAGUACGGCCGCAAGGUUGAA